This is a long non-coding RNA of Pectinophora gossypiella (pink bollworm), 1063 nucleotides long. RefSeq lists it as uncharacterized. NCBI's taxonomy places the organism in Eukaryota, Metazoa, Arthropoda, Insecta, Lepidoptera, Gelechiidae. The transcript is spliced from 3 exons. The record is from RefSeq and is a predicted model, not a curated record.
CUCAAGUAAGCACAAGGCUAGCGCGGAAUGUACUAAUCCUUUUCCCCUUGGGCUACAUGAGAUGUGUUUUCAAGUUUGAUACAUGGUGAUCAUGUCUGUUUCUUUCCAUUCUUUUACCUUUGUAAGGUAAAUGUACGUUCAUAACAAGUUAACUCAUCAGGAGUCGCUUGUUAUUUCUCUUUCGUUACUGGAGUGUAGCGAAAAAUUUUAUUUAAAAAUUUUAAAUUUUUAAAUAAAAUUUUUCUUCCUCAACUAAAACGGAACUGUAACACGUUUUUUUUACACUUCCCACUUGGCUGUAUGGCAUACAGGUGUGUGCCUACGCGCCGGGAAAAAGUUAUGUUCGUUUGACAUUUCGUUUACGCGAUGACGAUGGCAAUUUAGUCCCGUCGCGAUUAUUUCUUUAAAGUGGUGUGUAAGCCACAUAUAUUACGAUGAAAGGAUGGUGAAGUCUUCUGUAUAAAAACAAUGGUUUAGUCCAUCGACUAGGGGGAAUGCUGUUAUAAUAUCGUCUCACGUGAUGUGGGGUCAAAGUCCACCGGCAGAGUCCAGUGUUAAAGUUCUACUAGAAUGAUCAACUGUAAAGACUAACUUCAAAAAUCAACUUCAAAGUCUUCCUUCAGGGUCUAGCUCCCCAGCCAUGACUACCAUUUGUGUUCAUUGUCUGCUUUUGCCGUCAGGGUCAGUUCCUGCUGCGGUCAUUAAUGUACAUAAUUCCAGUUUGGUGUUAAAAUCUCUGGAUACCAUCUAAAUAUCUCUUCUUCAUGAUUAAUUUAACUUAUUAUGGAUAGUGCCAUGCUCUCAAGAUGAUUUUCUACUAAUACAUGGAGUAUUUAUCCUCAAUACAUACUCCAUGCCUUUUUGUCAGGACCUGCCGUCCUGACACUUUACUUAUCCUCAUAGGAAUAAAACCUAGUUGUUUAGGUAUAAUACUAAGUUAAGAUACCAUGUUAUAGUAAAAGAUUUGUUUCUUAAUUUAUAUUAGGAUGGUUUGUAACCGACUGACUUCAUAUCAUUUUAUUUUGAAAUUGUUGAAUCAAUUAUACUAUUGUUAAAAGUGAAA